GUGGAGACUGAGCAAAUCGGUCAGGAGAUGCUGUCCAACCUGAACACUGACCGCGAGAAGAUCCAGAGAGCUAGAGAGAGGUUGAGGGAGACGGACGCCAACCUGGGCAAGAGCUCGCGGAUCCUCACCGGCAUGCUCAGAAGGUAAGAGCCAGGUAGGCCACAUCUCUCUAUGCUUUACCUUUCCACUCCUGUCCCUCGCCUAACCCAGUACAGAAAUCCUUUACACCUGCCCACACCUGACCCACAGUCAGCUGUGUAGAGGGUACCUUUACACCUGCACACACCUGACCCACGCUGGAAACCUUUCGCAGGGUUUAUGUUAAGGGUUGCCUUUACAAAUGUUUGUCUGAACCUAAGCCUGUGUUCCCUUAGUGGCAGUGACUGUGAGAAAGGGCUUAACUUGUAUAUAACCUCGCUACACCUGAACAGAAGCCAUCACACCAUCCGACCGGCCUCCCACCACGAGGUCUUCAACGCGUGGGUUCAGCCAGUCUGUUUACAGCCAGGAAAAAAUAGUAAAAAGAAUGGCUUUUUGAAAAGAAUUACAGCAAAGUGGUUCACUAACCUUAAGUCUUUUGAUCCUUGCGUUUCCUCACAAGGGGUAUCUGUGUGUGGGUUUGUGUGUGUAUGUGUGUGUGCUUUCUUUGUAAUGAUAAACUACAAAUCAAACCGCGCAAUGUUUAACAACAGACAUGUACGGGAGUGCUGCAGCUGUCUGUCUGGUGCCGUGGCCGGGCGGGCUUUGCCCUGUCAAAGGAACUCAGAGAAGGUUCCGGAGUCAUCUCUGUACGCCCCACUGCUCCUCUCCUCCAUUCUUCUUCUUCUUCAUCUUCAUCUUCAUCUUCAUCGUCCUCUUCCUCCUCCUGCUCAUUUCGUGUUUGGUAUUUCAGUUUAUUCAUUUUCUAUAAGGAAUCAACCAACUCUUUGUCAGUCAUUUUCUCUCUUUGUAACCGCAGCCGUGCACGCCCUCACUCUUGUGUGUGUGUGUGUGUGAGUGCGUGCGUGCGUGCCUGUUUGUGCGUUUGUGCGUGUGGGUGCAUGUGUUUGCGAGCCAACCGGUCCCUCGAAUCCACCUGCUAUCUGACAUAAACUCUCAGACGGAACGUAUUUAUGCACGCACACAUGGACACACCCACCCACGCACGCCAACACAUAUACAUACACAGAAACACAGAAACGUCCACAC
Long non-coding RNA from Gadus macrocephalus (Pacific cod), 1188 nucleotides. RefSeq lists it as uncharacterized. The transcript is spliced from 3 exons. The record is from RefSeq and is a predicted model, not a curated record. Lineage: Eukaryota; Metazoa; Chordata; Actinopteri; Gadiformes; Gadidae.